AGAGCGAACGCUGGCGGCAGGCCUAACACAUGCAAGUCGAGCGCCCCGCAAGGGGAGCGGCAGACGGGAGAGUAACACGUGGGAACGUACCCUUCAGUUCGGAACAACCCAGGGAAACUUGGGCUAAUACCGAAUACGUCCGUAAGGAGAAAGAUUUAUCGCUGAAGGAUCGGCCCGCGUCUGAUUAGCUAGUUGGUGAGGUAACGGCUCACCAAGGCUACGAUCAGUAGCUGGUCUGAGAGGAUGAUCAGCCUCACUGGGACUGAGACACGGCCCAGACUCCUACGGGAGGCAGCAGUGGGGAAUAUUGGACAAUGGGCGCAAGCCUGAUCCAGCCAUGCCGCGUGAGUGAUGAAGGCCCUAGGGUUGUAAAGCUCUUUUGUGCGGGAAGAUAAUGACGGUACCGCAAGAAUAAGCCCGGCUAACUUCGUGCCAGCAGCCGC
This 443-nucleotide ribosomal RNA is filed under the name uncultured bacterium. Its description in RNAcentral is "SSU rRNA". It matches the Rfam family "Bacterial small subunit ribosomal RNA", at positions 26 to 518 of the family's 1533-position model. The record is from RNAcentral.